This 253-nucleotide ribosomal RNA is filed under the name uncultured bacterium. RNAcentral describes it as "partial 16S ribosomal RNA". It matches the Rfam family "Bacterial small subunit ribosomal RNA", at positions 524 to 776 of the family's 1533-position model. The record is from RNAcentral.
UACGUAGGGGGCAAGCGUUGUCCGGAUUUAUUGGGCGUAAAGAGCGUGUAGGCGGCCAUACAGGUCAGCUGUGAAAACUCGAGGCUCAACCUCGAGACGUCGGUUGAAACCGUAUGGCUAGAGUCCGGAAGAGGAGAGUGGAAUUCCCGGUGUAGCGGUGAAAUGCGUAGAUAUCGGAAGGAACACCUGUGGCGAAAGCGGCUCACUGGACCAUUACUGACACUGAGGCACGAAAGCUAGGGGAGCAAACAGG